RNAcentral lists this ribosomal RNA (500 nucleotides) under uncultured bacterium. RNAcentral describes it as "partial 16S ribosomal RNA". It matches the Rfam family "Bacterial small subunit ribosomal RNA", at positions 28 to 523 of the family's 1533-position model. The record is from RNAcentral.
GAUUAGCGCUAGCGGCAGGCCUAAUACAUGCAAGUUGAACGGGAUUGAUUGUAGCAAUACGGUCAUGAGAGUGGCGCACGGGUGCGUAACACGUAUGCAACCUACCUAUAACUGGGGAAUAGCCUCCCGAAAGGGAGAUUAAUACCGCAUAAUAUUAUUGAAUGGCAUCAUUUGAUAAUUAAACCUCAGGGGGUUAUAGAUGGGCAUGCGUCCGAUUAGCUAGUUGGUGAGGUAAUGGCUCACCAAGGCUACGAUCGGUAGGGGGUCUGAGAGGAUGAUCCCCCACACGGGUACUGAGACACGGACCAGGCUCCUACGGGAGGCAGCAGUAAGGAAUAUUGGACAAUGGGCGAAAGCCUGAUCCAGCCAUGCCGCGUGAAGGAUGAAGGCCCUAUGGGUCGUAAACUUCUUUUAAACGGGACGAAACCCCUCGACGUGUCGAGGGCUGACGGUACCGUAAGAAUAAGGGUCGGCUAACUUCGUGCCAGCAGCCGCAGUAA